RNAcentral lists this ribosomal RNA (253 nucleotides) under uncultured bacterium. Its description in RNAcentral is "partial 16S ribosomal RNA". It matches the Rfam family "Bacterial small subunit ribosomal RNA", at positions 524 to 776 of the family's 1533-position model. The record is from RNAcentral.
UACGUAGGGACCGAGCGUUGUCCGGAAUCAUUGGGCGUAAAGAGCGUGUAGGCGGCUUUACAGGUCCGUUGUGAAAACUCGAGGCUCAACCUCGAGACGCCGGUGGAAACCGUAAAGCUAGAGUCCGGAAGAGGAGAGUGGAAUUCCUGGUGUAGCGGUGGAAUGCGCAGAUAUCAGGAGGAACACCGGUGGCGAAGGCGGGUCUCUGGGCAGUAACUGACGCUGAGGAGCGAAAGCGUGGGGAGCGAACAGG